UUUUUAAGGGAGGGAGAGGAGAAGAAGGAGAGAAGGUGAAUCGAAUCAGUCACUCCUCUGAUUGCCUGCUACCUAUGUCUUUUCCUCAGCCUGUCUUCCAUGUGGUAACAUUUUUAAAACAGAGGGAACAUUUUUAAGACAGAGGGAAAAGGGAAGUUGGAAAGGAGCAGAAUUUGGGCACAUGCCCUGCUUCCUUGAGCUGUCCUCUCUCAUUAAGGACAUGUCCUUCCAAAAGAAAGGCAUUCUGUUUCCAGCCCACGCAGACCUAAACUUUUUCUCAUCACGUGCCUGGCCAGAGCCAGUCGGCAGCCAUGUAAUGUGAUCACCAGGGCCAGCCUCCCGACCCACCCAAGCUGAGCCGGGUGACAAUAAGGUUAGCCUGCAGAACUUCCCUGCAGCCACAAAAACAAACAAACAAACAGAAGCACUACAGGCUGGACCUGUGGCUUGGAGACAGGAACUCUUGGCAACAGCCCUCUGCAGAGCCUGUCCUUGCUCCUCCUCGGCAGGGGGGGGGCUGUUCCUGGGCUGUUCCCUCCCUGUUCCUCACCGGGUCAGCACCACCUGCCUGUGUCUGCACCUUCUGUCUCCUCCAUGUUGCUUUUCUCAAAACGGACGUAGUUCUAAUGAAUCCAGUCUACUUCUAAAGCUGGUGGGGGAACAGUUCUCCAAAGGGAAGUGAAACUGGAAGAGACUGCUGGAAGGCAACCCUCAUUCUCGAAGGACUGUGGCAAACUGCCACACUCUUAAGUCUCAGAAGGAUGUGCGGGCUGGGAGAUGGUCAGCCAGGUUAAGGUGCCUUGAGUAAAACAGUGGCUCCAGGUUCAGGCGAUUACUACAUCCAAUGGUCCUGAAGGACUUCCACCAGAGCUACUGGGUAGAGAUGGAGCAGCAAAGUAGUUUGCCACGAGAGGUGCCUGGCCAGGCGAGACAAGGGGCUGCUGCAUGUGAGUUGCUGUCAGUUUGUCUUGUAAUUCCAAACAGAUGUCACUGGCCGAGACAGAGAGAGCAAGUCAAUUUGAUGAAAUAAAUGCAAAGAGGGUC
Cricetulus griseus (Chinese hamster) is the source of this 1044-nucleotide non-coding RNA. The record is from RefSeq and is a predicted model, not a curated record. Lineage: Eukaryota; Metazoa; Chordata; Mammalia; Rodentia; Cricetidae.